GGUGGCGGUGGCGAUGGGGGCGGGGGCAUUCCAUUUAGCCUCUUUCCUCCUCAAUCGGAAGGGUUCUUCAACCCAAUGGACGGCAACCUCUCAUUGCAAAUCGGAUACAAUCCGACAUGUCUGGACGAGAUGAAUGCUUCGGUUUCGAGCCAAAAUGUUGCCGGAUUCAUUCCGGGAUGGAUGCUUUGAACUUACUACAUCGACUUGGAGUGUGAAUCGAGCUGGUGAAAUUUGUGCGCGUGUCCCUUGUAAAAUUGCGAUCCGCAAGACAAUAAGUACAUAAUAUUUUGGAGCUGUGAUGACAUAAAAAGAGGAAGGCCACCCUUUCCUCUCUCAUGAUCAGAACUUUUGAUAAUGUCUGUAUGGCCCUGCAGUGCAAUUGGAACGAGCUCAGCUUUGUAGUUCUUUUCGAAGCCUGCAAUAUUGAGCUGCAUAGCUUACUGUCAUAAUGUAUGGUCGAACGUAGCGCUCGCUUUAGAGUUUCUUUAUCCGUUGCUUGGGUUUGAAUGAUUCCCUCAAAUGUUCCUUUUCAGUACGUGAAGUUUGGCCGAUCAAUCAGCUCUUUUCACCCA
This is a long non-coding RNA of Eucalyptus grandis, 572 nucleotides long. RefSeq lists it as uncharacterized. The transcript is spliced from 2 exons. The record is from RefSeq and is a predicted model, not a curated record. Lineage: Eukaryota; Viridiplantae; Streptophyta; Magnoliopsida; Myrtales; Myrtaceae.